UACGUAGGGGGCAAGCGUUAUCCGGAUUUACUGGGUGUAAAGGGAGCGUAGGCGGUUCAGCAAGUCAGAAGUGAAAGCCCGGGGCUCAACUCCGGGACUGCUUUUGAAACUGUUGAGCUAGAUUGCAGGAGAGGUAAGUGGAAUUCCUAGUGUAGCGGCGAAAUGCGUAGAUAUUAGGAGGAACACCAGUGGCGAAGGCGGCUUACUGGACUGUAAAUGACGCUGAGGCUCGAAAGCGUGGGGAGCAAACAGG
RNAcentral lists this ribosomal RNA (253 nucleotides) under uncultured bacterium. RNAcentral's name for it is "partial 16S ribosomal RNA". It matches the Rfam family "Bacterial small subunit ribosomal RNA", at positions 524 to 776 of the family's 1533-position model. The record is from RNAcentral.